CCUACGGGCGGCAGCAGUGGGGAAUAUUGGACAAUGGGCGAAAGCCUGAUCCAGCCAUGCCGCGUGUGUGAAGAAGGCCUUCGGGUUGUAAAGCACUUUUAGUGGGGAAGAAAGCCUUGGGGCUAAUACCCUCGAGGAAGGACAUCACCCACAGAAGAAGCACCGGCUAACUCCGUGCCAGCAGCCGCGGUAAUACGGAGGGUGCGAGCGUUAAUCGGAAUUACUGGGCGUAAAGCGCGCGUAGGCGGUCUGAUAAGCCGGUUGUGAAAGCCCCGGGCUCAACCUGGGAACGGCAUCCGGAACUGUCAGGCUAGAGUGCAGGAGAGGAAGGUAGAAUUCCCGGUGUAGCGGUGAAAUGCGUAGAGAUCGGGAGGAAUACCAGUGGCGAAGGCGGCCUUCUGGACUGACACUGACGCUGAGGUGCGAAAGCGUGGGUAGCAAACAGGAUUAGAUACCCCGGUAGUC
This 465-nucleotide ribosomal RNA is filed under the name Vreelandella stevensii. RNAcentral's name for it is "partial 16S ribosomal RNA". It matches the Rfam family "Bacterial small subunit ribosomal RNA", at positions 338 to 795 of the family's 1533-position model. The record is from RNAcentral. Lineage: Bacteria; Pseudomonadati; Pseudomonadota; Gammaproteobacteria; Oceanospirillales; Halomonadaceae.